UACGGAGGGGGCCAGCGUUGUUCGGAAUCAUUGGGCGUAAAGGGCGCGUAGGCGGCCGAGCAAGUCGGAUGUGAAAUACCCCGGCUCAACUGGGGAACUGCAUCCGAAACUGCUUGGCUUGAGUCCUGGAGAGGGUAGUGGAAUUCCCAGUGUAGCGGUGAAAUGCGUAGAUACUGGGAGGAACACCGGUGGCGAAGGCGGCUACCUGGACAGGUACUGACGCUGAGGCGCGAAAGCGUGGGGAGCAAACAGG
Molecule: ribosomal RNA, 253 nt
Filed under: uncultured bacterium
Lineage: Bacteria
Description: partial 16S ribosomal RNA
Rfam family: Bacterial small subunit ribosomal RNA
Source: RNAcentral